This 278-nucleotide ribosomal RNA is filed under the name Phocaeicola dorei DSM 17855. Its description in RNAcentral is "partial 16S ribosomal RNA". It matches the Rfam family "Bacterial small subunit ribosomal RNA", at positions 524 to 801 of the family's 1533-position model. Lineage: Bacteria; Pseudomonadati; Bacteroidota; Bacteroidia; Bacteroidales; Bacteroidaceae. The record is from RNAcentral.
UACGGAGGAUCCGAGCGUUAUCCGGAUUUAUUGGGUUUAAAGGGAGCGUAGAUGGAUGUUUAAGUCAGUUGUGAAAGUUUGCGGCUCAACCGUAAAAUUGCAGUUGAUACUGGAUGUCUUGAGUGCAGUUGAGGCAGGCGGAAUUCGUGGUGUAGCGGUGAAAUGCUUAGAUAUCACGAAGAACUCCGAUUGCGAAGGCAGCCUGCUAAGCUGCAACUGACAUUGAGGCUCGAAAGUGUGGGUAUCAAACAGGAUUAGAUACCCGGGUCUGACUGACU